CCCUGAUGCAGCCAUGCCGCGUGUGUGAAGAAGGCCUUCGGGUUGUAAAGCACUUUCAGCGAGGAGGAAAGGUUGGCGCCUAAUACGUGUCAACUGUGACGUUACUCGCAGAAGAAGCACCGGCUAACUCCGUGCCAGCAGCCGCGGUAAUACGGAGGGCGCAAGCGUUAAUCGGAAUUACUGGGCGUAAAGCGCACGCAGGCGGUUGGAUAAGUUAGAUGUGAAAGCCCCGGGCUCAACCUGGGAAUUGCAUUUAAAACUGUCCAGCUAGAGUCUUGUAGAGGGGGGUAGAAUUCCAGGUGUAGCGGUGAAAUGCGUA
This 319-nucleotide ribosomal RNA is filed under the name uncultured Aeromonas sp. Its description in RNAcentral is "bacterial SSU rRNA". It matches the Rfam family "Bacterial small subunit ribosomal RNA", at positions 381 to 692 of the family's 1533-position model. The record is from RNAcentral. Lineage: Bacteria; Pseudomonadati; Pseudomonadota; Gammaproteobacteria; Aeromonadales; Aeromonadaceae.